UAAAUGACUCUCGGCAACGGAUAUCUCGGCUCUCGCAUCGAUGAAGAACGUAGCGAAAUGCGAUACUUGGUGUGAAUUGCAGAAUCCCGUGAACCAUCGAGUCUUUGAACGCAAGUUGCGCCCCAAGCCUUUAGGCCGAGGGCACGCCUGCCUGGGUGUCACAC
This 164-nucleotide ribosomal RNA is filed under the name Oxalis articulata subsp. rubra. RNAcentral's name for it is "5.8S ribosomal RNA". It matches the Rfam family "5.8S ribosomal RNA". Rfam says of the family: 5.8S ribosomal RNA (5.8S rRNA) is a component of the large subunit of the eukaryotic ribosome. It is transcribed by RNA polymerase I as part of the 45S precursor that also contains 18S and 28S rRNA. Functionally, it is thought that 5.8S rRNA may be involved in ribosome translocation. Lineage: Eukaryota; Viridiplantae; Streptophyta; Magnoliopsida; Oxalidales; Oxalidaceae. The record is from RNAcentral. RNAcentral also lists the same sequence under 5 other names.